GACGAACGCUGGCGGCGUGCUUAACACAUGCAAGUCGAACGGAAAGGCCCUGCUUUUGUGGGUUGCUCGAGUGGCGAACGGGUGUGUAACACGUGAGUAACCUGCCCUUGACUUUGGGAUAACUUCAGGAAACUGGGGCUCAUAUCGGGUAGGAGCUCCUGCUGCACGGGGGUGGUUGGUGAGUUUCGGCGGUUGGGGAUGGACUGGAGGCUUAUCCGCUGGUUUGGGGGGUAGUGGCUUACCAAGGCUGUGACGGAUAGCCGGCAUGAGCGGGGGGCCGGCCACAAGGGGCCUGCGAUAGGGACCAGACUCCUACGGGCGGCAGCGGGGGGGAGUAUUGCGCAAUGGGGGGAAGCCUGAUGCAGCAACGCCGCGUGCGUGAUGCCGUCCUUCGGGUUGUAAACCGCUUUCGCCUGUGACGAAGCGUGAGUGACGGUAAUGGGUAAAGAAGCAACGGCUAACUACGUG
Molecule: ribosomal RNA, 468 nt
Filed under: uncultured bacterium
Lineage: Bacteria
Description: partial 16S ribosomal RNA
Rfam family: Bacterial small subunit ribosomal RNA
Source: RNAcentral